This 597-nucleotide ribosomal RNA is filed under the name uncultured bacterium. RNAcentral's name for it is "bacterial SSU rRNA". It matches the Rfam family "Bacterial small subunit ribosomal RNA", at positions 333 to 933 of the family's 1533-position model. The record is from RNAcentral.
AGACUCCUACGGAGGCAGCAGUGAGGAAUAUUGGACAAUGGGCGCAAGCCUGAUCCAGCCAUGCCGCGUGCAGGAUGACGGUCCUAUGGAUUGUAAACUGCUUUUGCACAGGAAGAAACACUCCCUCGUGAGGGAGCUUGACGGUACUGUGAGAAUAAGGAUCGGCUAACUCCGUGCCAGCAGCCGCGGUAAUACGGAGGAUCCAAGCGUUAUCCGGAAUCAUUGGGUUUAAAGGGUCCGUAGGCGGUUUAGUAAGUCAGUGGUGAAAGCCCAUCGCUCAACGGUGGAACGGCCAUUGAUACUGCUAGACUUGAAUUAUUAGGAAGUAACUAUAAUAUGUAGUGUAGCGGUGAAAUGCUUAAAGAUUACAUGGAAUACCAAUUGCGAAGGCAGGUUACUACUAAUGGAUUGACGCUGAUGGACGAAAGCGUGGGUAGCGAACAGGAUUAAAUACCCUGGUAGUCCACGCCGUAAACGAUGGAUACUAUCUGUUGGGAGCAAUCUCAGUGGUUAAGCGAAAGUGAUAAGUAUCCCACCUGGGGAGUACGUUCGCAAGAAUGAAACUCAAAGGAAUUGACGGGGGCCCGCACAAGAGAU